AUUGAACGCUGGCGGCAGGCCUAACACAUGCAAGUCGAGCGGAUGAAGGGAGCUUGCUCCUGGAUUCAGCGGCGGACGGGUGAGUAAUGCAUAGGAAUCUGCCCGGUAGUGGGGGAUAACGUCAGGAAACGGGCGCUAAUACCGCAUACGUCAUGAGGGAGAAAGUGGGGGAUCUUCGGACCUCACGCUAUCAGAUGAGCCUAGGUCGGAUUAGCUAGUUGGUGGGGUAAAGGCCUACCAAGGCGACGAUCCGUAACUGGUCUGAGAGGAUGAUCAGUCACACUGGAACUGAGACACGGUCCAGACUCCUACGGGAGGCAGCAGUGGGGAAUCUUGGACAAUGGGCGAAAGCCUGAUCCAGCCAUGCCGCGUGUGUGAAGAAGGUCUUCGGAUUGUAAAGCACUUUAAGUUGGGAGGAAGGGCAGUAAGUUAAUACCUUGCUGUUUUGACGUUACCAACAGAAUAAGCACCGGCUAACUUCGUG
Molecule: ribosomal RNA, 484 nt
Filed under: uncultured bacterium
Lineage: Bacteria
Description: partial 16S ribosomal RNA
Rfam family: Bacterial small subunit ribosomal RNA
Source: RNAcentral